This 253-nucleotide ribosomal RNA is filed under the name uncultured bacterium. Its description in RNAcentral is "partial 16S ribosomal RNA". It matches the Rfam family "Bacterial small subunit ribosomal RNA", at positions 524 to 776 of the family's 1533-position model. The record is from RNAcentral.
UACAGUGGGUGCAAACGUUGCUCGGAAUCAUUGGGCGUAAAGCGCACGUAGGCGGUUUGUUAUGUCGGAUGUGAAAGCCCUUGGCUCAACUAAGGAAGUGCAUCCGAAACUGGCAAGCUGGAGUACUAAAGAGGGUCGCGGGAUUCCCGGUGUAGAGGUGAAAUUCGUAGAUAUCGGGAGGAACACCGGUGGCGAAGGCGGCGACCUGGGUAGAUACUGACGCUGAGGUGCGAAAGCGUGGGGAGCAAACAGG